This 443-nucleotide ribosomal RNA is filed under the name uncultured bacterium. RNAcentral describes it as "partial 16S ribosomal RNA". It matches the Rfam family "Bacterial small subunit ribosomal RNA", at positions 338 to 795 of the family's 1533-position model. The record is from RNAcentral.
CCUACGGGAGGCUGCAGUGGGGAAUAUUGGGCAAUGGGCGCAAGCCUGACCCAGCAACGCCGCGUGAAGGAAGAAGGCUUUCGGGUUGUAAACUUCUUUUAUCAGGGACGAAGCAAGUGACGGUACCUGAUGAAUAAGCCACGGCUAACUACGUGCCAGCAGCCGCGGUAAUCCGUAGGUGGCAAGCGUUAUCCGGAUUUACGGUGUGUAAAGGGCGUGUAGGCGGGAGUGCAAGUCAGAUGUGAAAACUAUGGGCUCAACCCAUAGCCUGCAUUUGAAACUGUACUUCUUGAAUGCGGGAGAGGCAAUCGGAAUGCCGUGUGUAGCGGUGAAAUGCAUAGAUAUACGGAGGAACACCAGUGGCGAAGGCGGAUUGCUGGACAGUAACUGACGCUGAGGCGCGAAAGCGUGGGGAGCAAACAGGAUUAGAUACCCGAGUAGUC